RNAcentral lists this ribosomal RNA (430 nucleotides) under bacterium. Its description in RNAcentral is "partial 16S ribosomal RNA". It matches the Rfam family "Bacterial small subunit ribosomal RNA", at positions 355 to 776 of the family's 1533-position model. The record is from RNAcentral.
UGGGGAAUAUUGGACAAUGGGCGCAAGCCUGAUCCAGCCAUGCCGCGUGUGUGAAGAAGGCCUUUUGGUUGUAAAGCACUUUAAGCGAGGAGGAGGCUACUUGGAUUAAUACUCUAGGAUAGUGGACGUUACUCGCAGAAUAAGCACCGGCUAACUCUGUGCCAGCAGCCGCGGUAAUACAGAGGGUGCGAGCGUUAAUCAGAUUUACUGGGCGUAAAGCGUGCGUAGGCGGCUUCUUAAGUCGGAUGUGAAAUCCCUGAGCUUAACUUAGGAAUUGCAUUCGAUACUGGGAAGCUAGAGUAUGGGAGAGGAUGGUAGAAUUCCAGGUGUAGCGGUGAAAUGCGUAGAGAUCUGGAGGAAUACCGAUGGCGAAGGCAGCCAUCUGGCCUAAUACUGACGCUGAGGUACGAAAGCAUGGGGAGCAAACAGG